This is a long non-coding RNA of Anolis carolinensis (green anole), 3048 nucleotides long. RefSeq lists it as uncharacterized. The record is from RefSeq and is a predicted model, not a curated record. NCBI's taxonomy places the organism in Eukaryota, Metazoa, Chordata, Lepidosauria, Squamata, Anolidae. The transcript is spliced from 2 exons.
GCGAUCCAUGAAAAAAUUGAUUCUAAACUCGUUUCAAAAGUAGGGGGCGCCAGCGUUUCGUUUCUGAUGUCAUUUCCGAAUUUUGCCCCCCCCAAAAAUUCGAAAUUAACGAAAAUUCGUUAUUUUCUAAAUUAAUUCGUUAAUGGCGGACGCGCAUGCGCAGUGGCCAAAAAAAAACAGCACGAGGGGAGAUUUUACAGGACUCUCCCGCCCUCAUUUUUUGAGUGAUCUUCUUCAAACAUGGUACAGUGGUAGAACACAUUUAAUACUGAUAGCUCACCAAAAUUUGGAAUGUUUCCCUUAUCCUCUGAUUUUUGGCGAAUUUUCAUAGCUUUUAUAAUAAACCAUUUUUUAAUAAUUGCAGAAAUCUGUUCCUGGUUUGAAAGUCUUAUUUCCUGUUUCAUUGGGUUGUCUUUACUGUGAAAGUCAUUGUUCUACUUCAGAAACUUUGUUUUUGUGGCUGAAACUUUGUUAAAUUGGUGGACCAAACCAUAAUAUGUUCCAUCCAUGUCGCUUGCACAAAGUUCAGGCAGUGUCAUAGAUUUUGCCAUGUUUCUAUGACAGAACCAAUUAGGAAAUGACAUUUAUCACCCAGGAACAGAAAUCAUAGUACACCAUCAAAUCCUUCCUGACAGAUGGCCAUCAGCCUCUGAAUAAGGAAAUUAGUUCCUGGUUUGAAAGUGCUAUUUCCUGUUCCAUUGGCUUUUCUGGGCUGAGAGUGUGUGACUUGCCCAAGUGGGUGGCAGAGUGGGGAAUCAUGCCACAAUUGGAGUCCAAAAUUCAAACCUCUUCCUCCCUCCUUCUCUCUAAACUUCUCAUACCUUCCAAGAAUUCACAUACUGUAUGAAAGUUUGGUCAAGAUGGUCAGAGGAGGGCAACUAAAAUGAUCUAGGGUCUGGAGAACAAGCCCUAUGAGGAGUGGCUUGAAGAACUGGGCAUGUUUAGCCUGCAGAAAAGAAGGCUGAGAGGAGACAUGAUGUAUAAUAUGUGAGGGGAAGUCAUAGAGAGGAGGGAGCAAGCUUGUUUUCUGCUGCCCUGCAGACUAGGAUGCGGAACAAUGGCUUUAAACUACAGGAAAGGAGAUUUCACCUGAACAUUAGGAAGAACUUCCUCACUGUGAGCUGUUCAGCUGUGGAACUCUCUCCCCGGGCUGUGGUGGAGGUUUCUUCUUUGGAGGCUUUUAAGCAGAGGCUGGAUGGCCAUCUGUUGGGAGGGAUUGGAUGGUGUCUUCCUGCCUGGCAGAAGGGGUUGGGCUGGAUGGCCCACGAGGUCUCUUCCAACUCUACUGUUCAAUGACGCUAUGAUUCUAAGUGAGGACAAAAGGGGGUGGGGAAUGUUAAGAGGAGAGAGGGCCUGGAACACCUGGGAAUUGUAGUUUGCAAGUGGGCAUAGUACUAUUGGAGAAACGUUUGCUUCAGCCCAAUGCUUUUAUAAAUGGUCAAUAUUCAGAGGCUUCGUUCUCCUGCAUUUUGAAAGCUAUUAUGAUGAAAUUUGCCAGAAUGGAAGCAAAAAUUAAGUACUCUUAGCCUAUCAAGUUUCAUAAUGUUUGACCCAUCCACUGAUUUUUGGGGAUUUCUGAAGCAACAUUUUUUUAAAAUGUUAGCAGAUCGAUAGCCACGCCUCCCUGUCCUUCUUCCUUCCACUUUGAUUGGCUUGCUAAGGCUUCUGGGAAAUGGAGUUUUUUCUCUCGUUAUGGCGAAUUGCUUCAUUAAUGGUCAAUAUUCAGAGUCUUCGUUCUCCUGCAUUAUGAAAGCUAUUAUGAUGAAAUUUGCCAGAAUGGAAGCAAAAAUUAAGUACUCUUUGCCUAUCAAGUUUCAUAAUGUUUGACCCAUCCACUGAUUUUUGGGGAUUUUUGAAGCAACAUUUUUUUUUAAAUGCUAGCAGAUCGAUGGCCAUGCCUCUCCCUUAGGCAUGCCAACAUGGCUUCUCCUCUCAGAGGGGCUACAGCUUCAUCCGAAGACAUCAGAAACAAACGAAAAAAGCUUCGUGGUUCCUGAGUUCGGUUUGGCUCCUGACGACGACAACGUUCCUUCCUGGCUUGGCGUUCCUGACUUCCCUUGGCUCCUGAAUUCGGUUUGGCUCCUGACGACGACAACGUUCCUUCCUGGCUUGGCGUUCCUGGCUUCCCUUGGCUCCUGAAUUCGGUUUGGCUCCUGACGACGACAACGUUCCUUCCUGGCUUGGCGUUCCUGACUUCCCUUGGCUCCUGAAUUCGGUUUGGCUCCUGACGACGACAACGUUCCUUCCUGGCUUGGCGUUCCUGGCUUCCCUUGGCUCCUGAAUUUGGUUUGGCUCCUGAUGACGACAACGUUCCUUCCUGGCUUGGCGUUCCUGGCUUCCCUUGGCUCCUGAAUUCGGUUUGGCUCCUGACGACGACAACGUUCCUUCCUGGCUUGGCGUUCCUGGCUUCCCUUGGCUCCUGAAUUCGGUUUGGCUCCUGACGACGACAACGUUCCUUCCUGGCUUGGCGUUCCUGACUUCCCUUGGCUCCUGAAUUCGGUUUGGCUCCUGACGACGACAACGUUCCUUCCUGGCUUGGCGUUCCUGGCUUCCCUUGGCUCCUGAAUUUGGUUUGGCUCCUGAUGACGACAACAUUCGCUCCUGGCUUGGCAUUCCUGGCUUCUCCUUGAUUCCUGAAUUCGGUUUGGCUCCUGACGGCAGCGUUGCCCGUUCCUGGCUUGGCAUUUGCUGGCUCCCUUCUGGUUCCUGAAUUCGGCUUGGCUUCUGACGACGGCAUUGUUACUCCCGGUUGGCUUUCCUUUGGGUUUCUGGAUUCGGCUUGGCUUUUGGACAACAGUAUCGCUUGCUCUCGCUACUGGUGGGCGUUUGGCCCUUCCUUGGCUCUCUGUGCUAGAGCGGGGCGUGACUCUAGUUCCAGUGAACGUUUGGUUGAAAUUAAGCCAGAUUAUCAGGCUAGAUAAUCCGGAUUAUUUACUGUUCCUCUUUUUUGCCUUUUCUUGAAACAAAGACAUUUACCUUUACUGGGAACACUGAAGUUAAGUGUUUCUAGGUUCUAAAUAUCAUUUAAUAAACAUUUGUUAACUCUAA